RNAcentral lists this ribosomal RNA (674 nucleotides) under uncultured bacterium. RNAcentral describes it as "bacterial SSU rRNA". It matches the Rfam family "Bacterial small subunit ribosomal RNA", at positions 97 to 804 of the family's 1533-position model. The record is from RNAcentral.
GGCGGACGGGUGAGUAAUACGUGGGAACAUCCUUUCAGUACGGAACAACGCUUGGAAACGAGUGCUUAAUACCGUAUACGCCCUUAGGGGGAAAGAUUUAUCGCUGAAAGAUUGGCCCGCGCUAGAUUAGCUAGUUGGUAAAGGUAACGGCUUUACCAAGGCGACGAUCUAUAGCUGGUUUGAGAGAAUGAUCAGCCACACUGGGACUGAGACACGGCCCAGACUCCUACGGGAGGCAGCAGUGGGGAAUAUUGGACAAUGGGGGCAACCCUGAUCCAGCGAUGCCGCGUGAGUGAUGAAGGCCUUAGGGUUGUAAAACUCUUUCAGGGGUGAAGAUAAUGACGGUAACCCCAGAAGAAGCUCCGGCUAACUCCGUGCCAGCAGCCGCGGUAAUACGGAGGGAGCUAGCGUUGUUCGGAAUUACUGGGCGUAAAGCGCGCGUAGGCGGCUUGGCAAGUAGAGGGUGAAAUCCCGGAGCUUAACUCCGGAACUGCCUCCUAAACUGCUGAGCUAGAAUCCUGGAGAGGUGAGUGGAAUUCCUAGUGUAGAGGUGAAAUUCGUAGAUAUUAGGAAGAACACCAGUGGCGAAGGCGACUCACUGGACAGGUAUUGACGCUGAGGUGCGAAAGCGUGGGGAGCGAACAGGAUUAGAUACCCUGGUAGUCCACGCCGUA